RNAcentral lists this ribosomal RNA (610 nucleotides) under Marinobacter sp. RNAcentral's name for it is "bacterial SSU rRNA". It matches the Rfam family "Bacterial small subunit ribosomal RNA", at positions 45 to 648 of the family's 1533-position model. Lineage: Bacteria; Pseudomonadati; Pseudomonadota; Gammaproteobacteria; Pseudomonadales; Marinobacteraceae. The record is from RNAcentral.
CGCUUACACAUGCAGUCGAGCGGUAACAGGGGGUGCUUGCACCCCGCUGACGAGCGGCGGACGGGUGAGUAAUGCAUAGGAAUCUGCCCAGUAGUGGGGGAUAGCCCGGGGAAACCCGGAUUAAUACCGCAUACGCCCUUUGGGGGAAAGCAGGGGAUCUUCGGACCUUGCGCUAUUGGAUGAGCCUAUGUCGGAUUAGCUAGUUGGUGGGGUAAAGGCCUACCAAGGCGACGAUCCGUAGCUGGUCUGAGAGGAUGAUCAGCCACAUCGGGACUGAGACACGGCCCGAACUCCUACGGGAGGCAGCAGUGGGGAAUAUUGGACAAUGGGGGCAACCCUGAUCCAGCCAUGCCGCGUGUGUGAAGAAGGCUUUCGGGUUGUAAAGCACUUUCAGUGAGGAGGAAAACCUUCUGGUUAAUACCCAUGAGGCUUGACGUUACUCACAGAAGAAGCACCGGCUAACUCCGUGCCAGCAGCCGCGGUAAUACGGAGGGUGCAAGCGUUAAUCGGAAUUACUGGGCGUAAAGCGCGCGUAGGUGGUUUGAUAAGCGAGAUGUGAAAGCCCCGGGCUUAACCUGGGAACGGCAUUUCGAACUGUCAGGCUAGAGUG